UUAGUGUAUACGCUCUGGCAGAGCCUGCCACAGUCACUUAAACCCUAAGAAAAUGGAGGGCCAAGAUUGUGGAUUAAACCAAAGUCUACAUUUCCUCUCUAAAAAAGGCCUAUUCAAGUCAAGGGAAUUUUUUAAGGCUCAAGCUCAAGACCUGGAGACACAGCCACCUCCGGCAUGUGUGAAGGGCCGGCUAAGCCCGGGAGUGCUGGUGAGGCUCUGCCUGGAUGCCUCCCUGGCGCCACACCUAGGCCUCAGCGGCAUCUAGAGGCCGAGGAUUCAGAGCUCUUCCCCGGAACAGAGCUUGGAGCCAGGCAGGACGGACGACCUGGCCGAGGUCAAGGCAGGGACAUUUCUCUUCACCCGCCUGGCUAAAUAUCAGAACCACACU
Symphalangus syndactylus (siamang) is the source of this 388-nucleotide long non-coding RNA. RefSeq lists it as uncharacterized. The record is from RefSeq and is a predicted model, not a curated record. Lineage: Eukaryota; Metazoa; Chordata; Mammalia; Primates; Hylobatidae.